UACGUAGGGUGCAAGCGUUAUCCGGAAUCACUGGGCGUAAAGCGUGCGUAGGCGGAAGCUUAAGUGUGAUGUUAAAUCGUGUGGCUCAACCAUAUCGAUGCAUCGCAUACUGGGUUUCUAGAGGAAGGCAGAGGCAAGUGGAAUUUGUAGUGUAGCAGUGAAAUGCGUAGAUAUUACAAGGAACACCAAUGGCGAAGGCAGCUUGCUGGGCCUUUUCUGACGCUGAGGUACGAAAGCGUGGGGAGCGAACAGGAUUAGAAACCGGGUAGUCC
RNAcentral lists this ribosomal RNA (272 nucleotides) under uncultured prokaryote. RNAcentral describes it as "partial 16S ribosomal RNA". It matches the Rfam family "Bacterial small subunit ribosomal RNA", at positions 524 to 796 of the family's 1533-position model. The record is from RNAcentral.